CAAUGAUUCUACUUCCCAAGUAAUUACUUCUGGUCUAUAAAAAAACUCGCUGAAUUUUUUACAAGGGCAGCAGAUCUUCAGGUUGAACCAAUAUCUGUAAAUCCAUGUAGCCCUGUGAGGGACUGUACAGAGGUUACUCUGCCUCUCAACGAGUGACAGCUGGAGAUGGGCAGCAGCCCCCCAUGUUGGUAACAUCCCAGCUCUACAUGAUGUGCACUGACAGCAGAGAUGAAAAUGGGAGCAGCCUGCACAGGAGCCUCAUUUCUGAAACGAUUCCAACAAGAUGUGCUCAGAAAGUGUGAACCGGGUUAGCGCUUGAACUGAAAGUCAAAGAAAAGAUCAAUACCCACCCUAAUGAGCACAGUCAGUAG
Molecule: long non-coding RNA, 371 nt
Organism: Poeciliopsis prolifica (blackstripe livebearer)
Lineage: Eukaryota; Metazoa; Chordata; Actinopteri; Cyprinodontiformes; Poeciliidae
Exons: 4
Source: RefSeq, a predicted model, not a curated record